GACGAACGCUGGCGGCGUGCUUAACACAUGCAAGUCGAGCGGUAAGGCCCUUUCGGGGGUACACGAGCGGCGAACGGGUGAGUAACACGUGGGUGACCUGCCCUCAGCUCUGGGAUAAGCCUGGGAAACCGGGUCUAAUACUGGAUAUGACUCCAUGACGCAUGUUGUGGGGUGGAAAGCCUUGUGCGGCUGAGGAUGGGCCCGCGGCCUAUCAGCUUGUUGGUGGGGUGAUGGCCUACCAAGGCGACGACGGGUAGCCGGCCUGAGAGGGCGACCGGCCACACUGGGACUGAGACACGGCCCAGACUCCUACGGGAGGGCAGCAGUGGGGAAGUCUUGCGCAAUGGGCGAAAGCCUGACGCAGCGACGCCGCGUGAGGGAUGACGGCCU
Molecule: ribosomal RNA, 390 nt
Filed under: uncultured bacterium
Lineage: Bacteria
Description: bacterial SSU rRNA
Rfam family: Bacterial small subunit ribosomal RNA
Source: RNAcentral